CCUACGGGAGACAGCAGUGGGGAAUAUUGCACAAUGGGGGAAACCCUGAUGCAGCGACGCCGCGUGAGUGAAGAAGGAAUUCGGUAUGGAAAGCUCUAUCAGCAGGGAAGAAAAUGACGGUACCUGAGUAAGAAGCCCCGGCCAACGACGUGCCAGCAGCCGCGGUAAUACGUAGGGGGCAAGCGUUAUCCGGAUUUACUGGGUGUAAAGGGAGCGUAGACGGCAGGGCAAGUCUGGAGUGAAAGGCGGGGGCUCAACCCCCGGACUGCUCUGGAAACUGUACGGCUGGAGUGCAGGAGAGGUAAGUGGAAUUCCUAGUGUAGCGGUGAAAUGCGUAGAUAUUAGGAGGAACACCAGUGGCGAAGGCGGCUUACUGGACUGUAACUGACGUUGAGGCUCGAAAGCGUGGGUAGCAAACAGGAUUAGAUACCCUUGUAGUC
RNAcentral lists this ribosomal RNA (440 nucleotides) under uncultured bacterium. Its description in RNAcentral is "partial 16S ribosomal RNA". It matches the Rfam family "Bacterial small subunit ribosomal RNA", at positions 338 to 795 of the family's 1533-position model. The record is from RNAcentral.